GACGAACGCUGGCGGCGUGCUUAACACAUGCAAGUCGAACGGAAAGGCCCUGCUUUUGUGGGGUGCUCGAGUGGCGAACGGGUGAGUAACACGUGAGUAACCUGCCCUUGACUUUGGGAUAACUUCAGGAAACUGGGGCUAAUACCGGAUAGGAGCUCCUGCUGCAUGGUGGGGGUUGGAAAGUUUCGGCGGUUGGGGAUGGACUCGCGGCUUAUCAGCUUGUUGGUGGGGUAGUGGCUUACCAAGGCUUUGACGGGUAGCCGGCCUGAGAGGGUGACCGGCCACAUUGGGACUGGGAUACGGGCCAGACUCCUACGGGAGGCAGCAGGGGGGAAUAUUGCAAAAUGGGCGGAAGCCUGAUGCAGCAACGCCGCGGGCGGGAUGACGGCCUUCGGGUUGUAAACCGCUUUCGCCUGUGACGAAGCGUGAGUGACGGUAAUGGGUAAAGAAGCACCGGCUAACUACGUG
RNAcentral lists this ribosomal RNA (468 nucleotides) under uncultured bacterium. Its description in RNAcentral is "partial 16S ribosomal RNA". It matches the Rfam family "Bacterial small subunit ribosomal RNA", at positions 28 to 507 of the family's 1533-position model. The record is from RNAcentral.